UACGAAGGGUGCAAGCGUUGUUCGGAAUUACUGGGCGUAAAGCGCGCGUAGGCGGGUCUGUAAGUCGAUUGUGAAAUACCUGGGCUUAACCCGGGAAUGGCAGUCGAAACUGCAGAUCUUGAAUGUCUGAGAGGAUGGCGGAAUAACCGGUGUAGUAGUGAAAUACGUAGAUAUCGGUUAGAACACCUGAGGCGAAGGCGGCUAUCUGGCGGUACAUUGACGCUGAUGCGCGAAAGCGUGGGGAGCAAACAGG
This 253-nucleotide ribosomal RNA is filed under the name uncultured bacterium. Its description in RNAcentral is "partial 16S ribosomal RNA". It matches the Rfam family "Bacterial small subunit ribosomal RNA", at positions 524 to 776 of the family's 1533-position model. The record is from RNAcentral.